AGUGAACGCUGGCGGUAGGCCUAACACAUGCAAGUCGAACGGCAGCACAGUAAGAGCUUGCUCUUACGGGUGGCGAGUGGCGGACGGGUGAGGAAUACAUCCGAAUCUACUUUUUCGUGGGGGAUAACGUAGGGAAACUUACGCUAAUACCGCAUACGACCUACGGGUGAAAGCAGGGGAUCUUCGGCCCUUGCGCGAUUGAAUGAGCCGAUGUCGGAUUAGCUAGUUGGCGGGGUAAAGGCCCACCAAGGCGACGAUCCGUAGCUGGUCUGAGAGGAUGAUCAGCCACACUGGAACUGAGACACGGUCCAGACUCCUACGGGAGGCAGCAGUGGGGAAUAUUGGACAAUGGGCGCAAGCCUGAUCCAGCCAUACCGCGUGGGUGAAGAAGGCCUUCGGGUUGUAAAGCCCUUUUGUUGGGAAAGAAAAGCAGCAGGUUAAUACCCCGCUGUUCUGACGGUACCCAAAGAAUAAGCACCGGCUAACUUCGUG
This 492-nucleotide ribosomal RNA is filed under the name uncultured bacterium. RNAcentral's name for it is "partial 16S ribosomal RNA". It matches the Rfam family "Bacterial small subunit ribosomal RNA", at positions 29 to 507 of the family's 1533-position model. The record is from RNAcentral.